This 253-nucleotide ribosomal RNA is filed under the name uncultured bacterium. RNAcentral describes it as "partial 16S ribosomal RNA". It matches the Rfam family "Bacterial small subunit ribosomal RNA", at positions 524 to 776 of the family's 1533-position model. The record is from RNAcentral.
UACGUAGGGCGCAAGCGUUAUCCGGAAUUAUUGGGCGUAAAGAGCUCGUAGGCGGUUUGUCGCGUCUGCCGUGAAAGUCCGGGGCUCAACUCCGGAUCUGCGGUGGGUACGGGCAGACUAGAGUGAUGUAGGGGAGACUGGAAUUCCUGGUGUAGCGGUGAAAUGCGCAGAUAUCAGGAGGAACACCGAUGGCGAAGGCAGGUCUCUGGGCAUUAGCUGACACUGAGGCGCGACAGCGUGGGGAGCAAACAGG